GAUGAAGAACGUAGCGAAAUGCGAUAAGUAGUGUGAAUUGCAGAUUUCAGUGAAUCAUCGAAUCUUUGAACGCACAUUGCGCCCGCUAGUAUUCUGGCGGGCAUGCCUGUUCGAGCGUCAUUUCAACCAUCAAGCCCUAGGCUUGCGUUGGAGCCCUGCGGCUGCCGCAGGCUCCCAAAUCCAGUGGCGGGCUCGUCGUCGUACCGAGUGCAGUAAACAUCCUCGCUCAGGGAACGUGACGGGUUCUUGCCGUGAAACCCCCCACAUAUCAAGGUUGACCUCGGAUCAGGUAGGAAUACCCGCUGAACUUAAGCAUAUCAAUAAGCGGAGGA
This 332-nucleotide unclassified non-coding RNA is filed under the name soil metagenome. RNAcentral describes it as "partial contains 5.8S ribosomal RNA, internal transcribed spacer 2, and large subunit ribosomal RNA". The stretch from base 1 to 120 matches the Rfam family "5.8S ribosomal RNA", at positions 35 to 154 of the family's 154-position model. The record is from RNAcentral.